Molecule: non-coding RNA, 72 nt
Organism: Ixodes scapularis (black-legged tick)
Lineage: Eukaryota; Metazoa; Arthropoda; Arachnida; Ixodida; Ixodidae
Source: Rfam
GGUCUCAUGGUGUAACGGCUAGCACUCUUUACUCUGAAUCCAGCGAUCCGAGUUCAAAUCUUGGUGAGACCU